GGCUGGUACUUUAUCACUGUGAUAUUUAUCACUUUUCAGGCUUAGUACAUCUGGCCCUCAAUGUCUUGUUCCUCUAUAUCUAACUUUCUCUGACACUGUCUUGCUCCCCUCUCUCUCAUGCACCCCUCCCUCCCUGACACUCUCUCUCAUGUGCCUCUCCCUGACACUCUGUCUUGCUCCUCUCUCUCCCUGACACACUGUCUUGCUCCUCUCUCUCCCUGACACUCUCUCAUGUGCCUCUCCCUCGUGCCUCUCUGUCUCUCCCUGGCACACUCAUGUGCCUCACCCUCUCUCUCCCUGACUCGCUCUCUCAUGUGCCUCUCCCUCUCUCUCCUUGACACUGUCUUGCUCCUCUCUCUCCCUGACAAUCUCACCUGCCUGUCCCUCUCUCCCUGACACUCUGUCUUGCUCCUCUCUGUCCCUGACGCUCUCUCAUGUGCCUCUCCCUUUCUCCCUGACUCUCUCAUGUGCCUCUCUCUCUCUCUGACACUUUCUCUCAUGCGCCUCCCUCUCCCUGACACUCUGUCUUGCUCCUCUCUCUCCCUGACACUCUCUCAUGUGCCUCUCCCUCUCUUCCUGACAAACACUCUCAUGCACCUCUCCCCGACACUCUCUCAUGCUCCUCUCCAUCUCUCUCCCUGACACUCUCUCAUGCUCCUCUCCAUCUCUCUCCCUGACACUCUCUCAUGCUCCUCUCCAUCUCUCUCCCUGACACUCUCUCAUGCUCCUCUCCAUCUCUCUCCCUGACACUCUCUCAUGCUCCUCUCCAUCUCUCUCCCUGACACUCUCUCAUGCUCCUCUCCAUCUCUCUCCCUGACACUCUCUCAUGCUCCUCUCCAUCUCUCUCCCUGACACUCUCUCAUGCUCCUCUCCAUCUCUCUCCCUGACACUCUCUCAUGCUCCUCUCCAUCUCUCUCCCUGACACUCUCUCAUGCUCCUCUCCAUCUCUCUCCCUGACACUCUCUCAUGCUCCUCUCCAUCUCUCUCCCUGACACUCUCUCAUGCUCCUCUCCAUCUCUCUCCCUGACAUACUCUCUCAUGCACCCCUCUCUCUCUCCCUGACACUCUCUCUCUUUCUUACUCCCCUCUCUUUCUCACUCCCUCUCUGACACACUCACUUGCUCCCUUCCCUCUUGCUCCUCCCCGCUCUCUCUGUAACACCCUCCAGUGAUCACAAAAUACGCGUUAUAGCGAAUUGACCCAGUUUCAAAAAUGAGUGGGUCCUGCAGGACGCGUUGAUGCCUGCGUGCUCCGUGUCAGCCAAUAAGAAUUCACUGAUCCGCUCCACUUGUCUGCCCUGAUACACCGACAGCGGCCAGCCGCUUCAGAGCGGCCUGAUCCCACUGCUUCACAGUAACAACCCAGCUAGUGUACCUCCUGGGCAGCAGAAUGUCUUCAGCCUUCACCCUCUUCCUGUAACAGAGACCAGCCGAGCUGUCACGUGCGGAGCCAUCUCACGAAUCCCGAAAGAAGCAUCUGCCGAGCACCGGACAUCGCCUCCUAGAUACCAGCCGUCACCCCUCCUACAAACCCAGUGCUUCAGCACCCUCUCCUUGGCUGCAGCUCCGCUGACCAGGAUGCCAUCAUUGGCGAGUGCCCACACACAGCCAUGGCUACUUCCUCAGCCUUACUUCCCGCACUCGACACCUGCGAGAGAGGCAUGAGCACCCACCACUCCCAGAGAGGCAUGUGCCCACGCCAUCCAGAGCAAGACAGGUGCCCCCCACACCCCAGGCAAGACAAGCACACCCGUACCCCCUGGGCAAGAGAAGCACUCACCUCACCCCAGGAAAGACAAGCACCCUCCACAUCCCGAGCAAGACAGGUGCCCCCGAAACCAUGGGUAAAACAGGCCACCCCGACACCCUGGGUAAAACAGGCCGCCCCGACACCCUGGGAAAAACAAGCACCCCCACCAUCUCCGGCAAGCCAGAUGCCCCCACCACUUCGCACAAGGUAGCUACCCCCUCCACCCCGGGUAAGACAGAUGCCUACACCACCACGGGCAGCGCAGGUGCCCCUGCCAUAGAUGCAUGCACCAACACCAUCACCACCUGAAAGGCAUGCUCCACCAUCAUCAGAGUGGCAUGCGCCCCCACCACCACUGGAGAGAUAUGUGCCUAUACAAGCAUCAGAGGCAAGAGCCCCACAAACACCGGAGUGGCAUGUACCCCCACAAACACCAUCAGAGAGGCCUGCAAACCCACCACUGCCUUCAAGACCAUGUGCCCCAACCAUCAACAUCAGCGAGCCAUGCACCACCACAAACACCAGAGAGGCAUGUGCUCCCACCACCAGAGAUGCUUGCUACCUCACCACUACCAUUGGAGUUGCCUGACCCUCCACCACCACCAUCAGACUGACUUGCAACUCCACCACCACCAUCAUCAGACUGACUCCACCACCACCAUCAGACUGACUUGCUCCAUCACCACCACCACCACCACCAUCGGAGAGGCAUGCACUACCACAAAGAGGUGCUUGCAGACACAUAGCGUAUUAUUUACAAAUACAAUUUAAUUUAAAUGUUUGCUGCAUAAUACUA
Molecule: long non-coding RNA, 2545 nt
Organism: Pseudophryne corroboree (corroboree frog)
Lineage: Eukaryota; Metazoa; Chordata; Amphibia; Anura; Myobatrachidae
Exons: 2
Source: RefSeq, a predicted model, not a curated record